Long non-coding RNA from Prunus avium (sweet cherry), 966 nucleotides. RefSeq lists it as uncharacterized. NCBI's taxonomy places the organism in Eukaryota, Viridiplantae, Streptophyta, Magnoliopsida, Rosales, Rosaceae. The record is from RefSeq and is a predicted model, not a curated record.
GAAGGGAGCUCAAAAUUCCAUGUUUAUAUAUUUGAUAGAAGUGCUACAGAGGUAGAAUAACAAAGCCUGAGAUAGAAGAAACUGAUUAUGAAGAAGAAGAUGAUGAUAACUCUGUUAAAAUCUUGGAUGGUUUUUGACCCUGCCCAAGAAAAGCAAGGGAGAAAUCUCCAUUGCCAUGUCCUCAGCCGCACAAAAAAAUGAGAAGAUGUGGUAAAGCAGAAUAUGCAACAUCAACUUUAGACCAACAAGGACUCAAACUUCUGAAAUGAUGUUUGAGAACUCACUGAGAAACAAGGCCUCAGAUUGCUCCAAAUCAGAAAUGAAAAGGGAAGAUGAAUCAGAUGAUGAUUGUGUUGAAACUUUGGACAAGUUUCCCCCCCCUGCCCAAAAUCAGGGGACCAAUCUCCAUUAGCACCACCAGAUGCCAAAGAUGGUGUUGGGAGGAUGCAUACAUCAACUACACAAGUGGAAAAGCUAUAGCUCUUCAAAGAGCUAUUGCUUUUGAAUCUGCAAGCCCUUCUUUCACUAUUGUAAUGCAUCCAUCGUACCUCCACAAAGGUCUUUUGACUGCCAGUAGGGUUUGGUAAGAGACAUCUUAUGAAGCAGCCUGCUGGUAAUGUCAUCCUUAAGCUGUUGGACGGAGGAACUUGGUCUUUUAAGUUCACAUAUUCAAAACCGAAGGCUCAAUUCCAGCAAGGUUGGAGGGCAUUUGUCAGGGGCAAUAAUUCGAGUGACGAUUAUGGUCUUUUCAUUUCUGAUUUGGAGCAAUCUGAAGCCUUGGUUCUCAGUGAGUUCUCAAACAUCAUUUCAGAAGUUUGACUCCUUGUUGGUGUAAAGUUGAUGUUCCAUUCUGCUUUACCACAAGGUCUCAUUUUCUUGUGCGGCUGAGGACAUGGCAAUGGAGAUUUCUCCCUUGCUUUUCUUGGGCAGGGUUAAAAACCACCCAAGAUUCAAUAGACUUAUCAU